Molecule: long non-coding RNA, 965 nt
Filed under: Olea europaea subsp. europaea
Lineage: Eukaryota; Viridiplantae; Streptophyta; Magnoliopsida; Lamiales; Oleaceae
Source: RNAcentral
CAAGAUUCAAAAUUGUAGAGAAAAAAGAGAGAGAAAAUAUAUUAUUUUCUAGUAGUCCAAAAAUUCAAGAAUUAGUUUCUAGAUUAAUUGAAAGAAAGUGCCCACACGCCAGUGUAGUCUUUGCGUUGGAGAAUAUCAUAGAAGGCUUAAAGGUUUGAAGCACCAAGAUUUUUGCAAUUAAAGAAGACAAAAGUUCGCAGACCAAAAUUAAUUCAAGAUUGAUCAUUAAACCUAGGUAAAAGAUUCGAAUUCUUUAAUUUUGUUAUGACAUACAUGUGAACAUCUAGACGAUGUUACUUAUUGAAUUAAAGAAAAUUUUAAUUUCUGAUUAAUUCGGCUUCCGCAUUCCAUCAAUUGGUAUCAGAGCAAUCUAAAACGUCCAGGUGCUUGUUAUUUUUGAAUCUUAAUUGUAUGUUCUAAUCGAGCGAUGUCUAGAAAAAUUUUAUGUGUUGAUUGAAUGAUUAGAUUAUUUUAAAGUAUAAACAAAUUAUUUGUGGUCAGUCUUUGAUGUAAUUUAUUAUUUUGAGUCUGUAACAAGAUAUGUGGAUUACGACUCCAUUAUCUUGAUUUAAUUUUCUGUACAAUUAGAUUCAAAAUUUGUGAGCCUACGGGACAUAGGAAUUUAUGUAAUUCUUGUAAAUUUUUGGAUCUUGAAAGUUGAUUGGAGACUGAAGAAGAAGACUUGAAGAUGGAAUGCAAAUAAUUCAAAGAUUUGUAUUUAAAAAAAUGACGAUUUGACUGCUUGUCGAUAGCAAACACGUGCAGAUUUCGUCUUCACGUGCAAACAGAUUCUUUUGUAAAUUUGGAUUUUUUUUUUGAAAUAAUUACAAGUGCAGUGGCAGAAACUUCCUUACUAUUUUUGGAGAAGCUACUGUUGAAAAUUGAAGAUUGAAGAUUUAGAUUAAAUAUUGUGCUUGGGUCGAGUUAGUCUUUAAUUUAUUUCUUGAGUCGUUUUUGGACCACAA